This 848-nucleotide long non-coding RNA is filed under the name Mus caroli (Ryukyu mouse). RNAcentral describes it as "lncRNA (MGP_CAROLIEiJ_G0005522.1)". Lineage: Eukaryota; Metazoa; Chordata; Mammalia; Rodentia; Muridae. The record is from RNAcentral.
CUCUGGGCCUGCCUGUGAGUGUGGAUGGGAUGAGACCGGGAUCUGCCUCCUCACUUCCCAACUCAGGACAGUGAGCUCCCCUGGAGCUGUGAGCCAAGAUAAACCCUUCAUCCUUAGAUUGCUUUUGUCGGAAGUAUUUUAUCACACCAACAGGAAGAGAAACCAGAACAGCACCCGCUGAAGGAAGGAUGUCUCCGGUCACUGAGCCACCAUCUCUUGUUAGCACAAAUGCCUAGAACCAACAGACAACACAGGACAUUGUAAGAUGCUGUGGAAAGUGUAGGCUGUUUGGAAAACCACCUAGCAGCUCCCAAAAAGUUCAACAACCACCACAGAAGGAAGAGCCACAUAACCCAGGGACUUGGACCUCCAGCACUCAGAACCCGGCCUAGACCCAAGGCUCUCUGGAUAAGGUCCAGGUAAACCGCCCUGAGGACACUUCUGUUCUCCGGAAGCUUGCGAUGGAGGCCUCAGGAAAAAGCAGACAAGAAAACGCUAGCGGCUGGCAACAAAGGCUCUGUUCCUGGAGACGAACGGUUCCAUUUUGCAAGAAUACUUUCCAAGAGAUUCUAAUCAAAUCUGAGUGAAGAGCCUGUCUCUGUAUUCUCUUAACUGAAGACAUACCUGCCCCGUGCAUAGCCUGUUCGUUGUCAACAGACAUCCAUCUCCAAGGAAUAUCUGUGCACUUCUCUUGCAGAGGUCAGCGGACGGACGACUAGUGGGCACUGCCUCUUCCAAUUUGACGGCAAGUGUCUUCUUUGCCUUCUCAGCCACCUGAGAACCCAGAAGAGUUGCAAAGCUGAGCUCUCACUAAUAAUAAAACUAGAAACAACAACGAUAAUAAUAAA